Macadamia integrifolia is the source of this 698-nucleotide long non-coding RNA. RefSeq lists it as uncharacterized. NCBI's taxonomy places the organism in Eukaryota, Viridiplantae, Streptophyta, Magnoliopsida, Proteales, Proteaceae. The transcript is spliced from 3 exons. The record is from RefSeq and is a predicted model, not a curated record.
AUUGCGAGUGUCUUCACCUCUGAAACUCAGGAACACAUCAUAACUCCAACCAGAUGAGGACCUAGAAGAGGCUGCCAUCAAGAUUUCUCUCCGAAAUACGAAUCUUUUUCCGUUUCUAAGUAAAAUAUCAGGGAACUCUUCGAUUGCAGAGCUCGAUGAAGCUAAAAUCUUGAAUGGGAAAGCAAUUCAAGAACGAAAGGGACUGCCAGUGACUCAGUAUUGGGUGUCGUAAGACUAAGAGAGGUAGAGAUUGGGAGGCCUUGGUGAACCCACCCCAUUCCUCUCGGAGGGUUUAAAGCUGAAAGCGUGAAAGGGGCUACCGGGGUUUGUAAGUAGCUGAUGGGAUUUGUUAAAAGGGUGUGAAUCGGUUCGGUUUUCGCGUUGACGCUUCAAUUUGGUUUGAUGCAAGAUUUUUUAGGAGGAAGGGUAGCGGAUGCCGUAGGUUUCCACUGUGAGGAAUUAAAGCUAAAAGGGACUUACUGCCUACCGAGGUUGGAAGAAGCUAAUGGGAUUUGUUUAAUGGUUCAAGAAUUGGGUAUCGGUUUCACGAUCAAUACAGAGCAGAAUCGGCUAACACCCGUUCCCAAUUCUUACCGAUCUUAAUUGUUAAAACCUAAAUCGGACUGAUUCCAUAAUCGCUUUCUUUGUAUCUCAACUUGUAUUGGAUUGGCACCUUAAAGAAAAUCGAAUUAGACCAA